This 61-nucleotide ribosomal RNA is filed under the name Penicillium pimiteouiense. RNAcentral describes it as "partial 28S ribosomal RNA". It matches the Rfam family "Eukaryotic large subunit ribosomal RNA", at positions 1 to 60 of the family's 3401-position model. The record is from RNAcentral. Lineage: Eukaryota; Fungi; Ascomycota; Eurotiomycetes; Eurotiales; Aspergillaceae.
UUGACCUCGGAUCAGGUAGGGAUACCCGCUGAACUUAAGCAUAUCAAUAAGUGGAGGAAAA